This 1797-nucleotide ribosomal RNA is filed under the name Triticum aestivum (bread wheat). Its description in RNAcentral is "partial small subunit ribosomal RNA". The record is from RNAcentral. Lineage: Eukaryota; Viridiplantae; Streptophyta; Magnoliopsida; Poales; Poaceae.
AUGCAGAUUGUGGUCUGCAUCGACGACAUCUGGAAGACGGAACAUGUGCUGGGUUCGUGGUUCGUGGAUGGCAGGUAUGGUUUUCUUCUGCAACGUCUUAGUCGCGGUGGGGUGCCAGAUCUGGAGUUCGAUGGCGUGUCCGGGGUGUUGCCCCGGUCUGAUUCGUUCAACGGUAAGGGCUUCACUUUUGGUGAGCCACCUUGGAGGUUCGCAAAGCUGGAUAUCAGCGAUGGAGCCGCAUUGAGCUCGGGUGAGGAGAUGAUCCAUCAUUCUUUUCUUCGGUGGCUGCUGUCGUGGUGCCGGAGGCAGGUGAUGGGCGUUGGUGUCAAGCUGAGAGAUGUUCUGCUAGCUUUUCAGUUUUGUCAUGUCGGUCCUUACAUGACUCGCGGCGGCAACCACGAUGACGGCCCGGCUGCGGACAUCUCGUGGGUGAUGCUAGAUCGCUUCGUGUUCCGCAGGGACGACGAGCUUUUCCCGGACGCCGAGGCCAAGCACAUGAGAGCUCAGUCCCUCACCUCCGUGGGGGAAAUCUUCAACGUCGCCUUGCUCGCCGCCGCCCCGCCCAUGCUCUCCCGCCUCUACGUGCAGUGGCCGCUCAGUCCGCCGGAGGAGCAGGAUGGUAAUGGCAGGUCAGCCGAGCUCGUCACGGCCCACCGAGGUCUCGUCCUGCUCAGGGUCACCUCCCCCACAGGGCCUGGCGAGAAUGAUUACGUGCAGGACUACUUCGUCUUCAAAGCCGCCGCCUCCGCCGGGGCUAACUCGCGGCUCAGACGGCUCCCGGCGUGCACCCAACCCAUAGUGCUACCUUACGGGGAGUCGGAGGUGACUAUGGAGCGCUGGUUUCAUCAGAACACGAUCGGUCUGGUUUCACUUUCCGGUAGUGGUGAUGGCGACGAAGGCGAGUUUGCGAUGGUGCAGUUGGCCAAGUUUGUUCACACUCCGGGCAGCGCCCCCAAGAUGGGAGCUGAGCUAUGUGUGUUCCGCUCCCGUCUGCCCUCUUCUUCCAAAUCCAACACCAACACUCAAGGUGACGGUGAUGAUGCCGGGGUUGCUGAGGGCGAGUGGGAGGGUCUGGAGCUGCCAAUCCAGCAUGCCGAGGAGGAAUUCUUUGACCUCAAGGGUUGGUCAGCGCAUGGCGCCGUCACAUUUGGCAAAUCCAUAUGCUGGUUCGAUUACCACCAAGGAGGCAUCCUCCGGUAUGCACCAAGACCCUACAUACCUUACUCAGGAAUAGUAGGAGAAAGCAGCAGCAGCAUCUCGUACAUCCGACUGCCCAUCGACAACCGUCCCAACACUUUAUCACCAACCGACCAAUUGCUCGAGAAGUACCGCAGCCUGUGUGUCACCGGCACAAGGGGCAACGAGCAGCUUAAGUUCGUCGACGUGGUCCGUAGUGUUGGUGUCUGCUGUGGCCUGAUCACAGUCAGCUCUCGUUUCGCUAUCGCCUGCCAUACUUUCUGCACAAGAGAUCACAGGUGGCACAGGGAUGCGCUCAUUGAUUCUCAAGAUCUAUGGUAUCUUAACGCCCGCCAGCAGAGGCUUAUGCCCGACUAUGCCUUGACCACGUUCCCUCUAGUGAGUAUGGACAAGCCGCAUCUUGUCCACUUCCUCGUCUCCGAGCCGAGGAAGAACAACAACAUUGACGAUGUUUCGGUGGUUGUUAUCGAUAUCAUCACGCAUAAAACAGUUUCGACUUUUUCAUAUAUCCGAGGAGAAGAUCACUGCGGCAAAGAUGCAGACAUGGUCAUGCAAAGAUGCCGUCUUCCACGGUCUUUUCUCCCUUGUCACUUCCACUAA